This 72-nucleotide transfer RNA is filed under the name Dactylosporangium aurantiacum. RNAcentral's name for it is "tRNA-Asp". It matches the Rfam family "tRNA". From Rfam's summary of the family: Transfer RNA (tRNA) molecules are approximately 80 nucleotides in length. Their secondary structure includes four short double-helical elements and three loops (D, anti-codon, and T loops). Lineage: Bacteria; Bacillati; Actinomycetota; Actinomycetes; Micromonosporales; Micromonosporaceae. The record is from RNAcentral.
CGACGUGGAGCUCGGCAGCAGAGCACCGGGCUGUCAACCCGGAGGGCGCGGGUGCAGGUCCCGCCGCGUCGG